Artibeus jamaicensis (Jamaican fruit-eating bat) is the source of this 2279-nucleotide long non-coding RNA. RefSeq lists it as uncharacterized. NCBI's taxonomy places the organism in Eukaryota, Metazoa, Chordata, Mammalia, Chiroptera, Phyllostomidae. The record is from RefSeq and is a predicted model, not a curated record. The transcript is spliced from 4 exons.
GGAUUGGAUACCUUCUGGACAGACCUCAUAUGGCAAUACUUGAUUGGUAUCCUGGACAAUUGCCUGCCUGGCUCUUCCCAAAUCCGCUUCAGACCAUGAUUAUGUUGUAGACCUGAAACAAACAGAUGGGGGCCAUGAAGAGAGACACAGAAAUCAGGCUGAGGGAUUAAACAAGGCGUUCUAGAAGAGAUGAUUGCAUGUGAAACAAAAUUUAAAAGUCAAGUGACAAUCACAUAGAAAGAUCAUCAUGACAGCUGGGUGGAAGUAAAAAUAUUAAACUCAUGGAUCCGAGAUCUUCUAGGAGACCACAACAUGGACUGAAGGAAUGGAGCCAGAAGAGCGGGCAGUUACAAGAAAUAUUUAAAAAGUUGCUGUAUGGGAUUCGACGACAGAUUAGAUAAGAAGAGUGUGGAGAGGGAUUCUGGUUCAGAAGACGGAUGAAUAGUUUUCCCAUUGACAGGGAUCAUGAAUAUGGAAGGACACGCAGAUUUGGCGGUGUAAACAAUAUAUAAAUUGAUGCCAAGAUUUUUAGCUGAAUGGUAUUAUUUCAGUCACCAUUGCUGUAUAACAACUACCACAAAACUCAGUGGCUUAAAGCAACCAUCAUUUGUUGCCGAUUCUGUGGACUAGGAAUUCUGGCAGAACUCAGUGGAGAAGCCUGGGACAAUGUGACUGGCACUGGAGAAAUCAAAAUAGCUUCACUCCCAGAUCCGGGUCUUGGUGCUGGCUGAUAGCUGUGAUGCCUCCGUUCUCCUCUGUGUGUCCUCUCUCUUCACAUGGUCUCUCAUUUUCUUGGUCCUGACUACUCACAUGACUUCUCUCUCCAGCAGGAUAGCCUUUACUUAGUUGAGUUGCCGGGUUCCAAAGAGCAGGAGCAGAAGCUCUAAGGCUACUUUUAAGAUAUAGGCUCAAAAACUCCAGAAUAUCAUUUCCACUACAUUUGAUUGGCCAAAGAAAGUCACAAGGCCAGUUAGAUUCAAGGGAAAUACAUUCCACCUCUUGAUGUGAGGAGUGGCAAAAUCAUAGAGCAAAGGGGUGGGUACUCAGGGAGGCAUGAUUCACUGGGGACUAUUUGAAACAAUCUAACACAGUUAUGUUAAAUCAAUUUUUUUAAAGAGGAAUUCACUAAAAUCAAGAGGAUAUGACUUCUUGGUCAUGAUUUGAAAAUUUUAACAUUAACAAAAAAUAAUGUUAAUAAUAAUGAUUUCUGAACCUAAUGGUAGUUUGGCCAUUUGGUCUUUUUUCCUUUGACAAAAGUUUCUUCCUUACUUGAGUGAGAACUUGCUUUUCGUAAUUUCAGAAAAUAUAUCAUACUUGCUUCCAAAAUUUAACAAGAUUGUGUCAAUAAAUAUAUGACUAAAACUUUAAAUAUCUGAAUAGUAAUUUAUAUGAACAUAAAAUAAUGUAUUUAGUCCCUCCAAUAUUGGUAAAAAUUUAUUUAUGGUUUUUACUGUUUCAAGUAACACUGUGAUGAGCAUUUUUAGGUACAUUUAUUUGUAGUAAAUUCCAAGAAGUAUAAUUCUAAGAUAAAAGAUGUAAACACUUUAAAAUUUAGUGUCCUUCAGAAAAGAAGUUGCUUCACUGUUUUCUGGUUUUCAUGAUUUUGAUGAGAAAUCGCAGUCAUUCAGAUCUUUAUUUCCCUAUAUGUAAUGUGUCUUUUUGUUCCCUCUAGCUGUUUCCAAGGUUCUUUCCCCCAUCUUUUCCAACAAAUUAUGGUGUGUCUAGCCAAAGGCUUUCUUUGAAUUUAUCCUGUUUAGAGUUUGUUAAACUUUUUGAUUCUGUAAAUUUGUGGCUUUCACCAAAUAUAGAAAGUUUUUGGCCAUUAUGUCUUCAACUAUAUCCUUUUUUCUGUCUCUAUCUCCCUCUUCUCUUUUUAGGGUUCCAGUUACAUAACAUAUAUUCUAGAUGUUUUCACAAUGUUGCAUAGGUUCCUGAAGCUCUGGGUUUGUUAUUGUUGUUUUUAAAUUAUUUUAAGGUAUUUUUUAUUGUUAUUCAAUUACAGUUGUCCCCAUUUUCCCUCCAUUACUCUUUCCUGCCCUACCCAGCCCCCACCUCCCACAUUCAAUCAUCCCUGCCCCAACCCCCAUUGUCUUUGUCCAUGGGUCCUUUAUACAUUUUCUUUGACUUGACCCCUUCCCCUUCUUUCCCGGGGUAUCCCCCACCCCCAUCCCUUCUGCUCACUGUCGGUUUGUUCUCUUUUUCCAUCUGUUCUUCACAUUAGAUUAUUUUUAUGCUAUAGUCAAAUUUAUUAACAUUUUCCUUUGUCACUUCCAUUUUAC